This is a non-coding RNA of Ictidomys tridecemlineatus (thirteen-lined ground squirrel), 292 nucleotides long. Lineage: Eukaryota; Metazoa; Chordata; Mammalia; Rodentia; Sciuridae. The record is from RefSeq and is a predicted model, not a curated record.
UCCGGAGUCAGCCAGGGUCUGGGCUGUUCCUGCUCUUCUGGGGACCGUCCUUCUAGAAGGAUGCGGAGAGAGGUUCUGCAUGGAUCCACUUGGUGGGACCCCAGUUGCAAACAGCAGGAAGUCGCCUCCCCUUGGUCCCUGGUUUGGUAGAAGCAGCUAGCUCUUUGGGGACUCCAAUAGCUAAGAUGCUUCUGACUGGAUGCCGACAGGAUUGCUACCCGCAGCAGUGCCAAGGAGAGCACUCCAACAGAGCCUGGAGGUCCACGCAGAUGGACGCUCCUCCGACCUACGG